RNAcentral lists this ribosomal RNA (169 nucleotides) under uncultured bacterium. RNAcentral describes it as "partial 16S ribosomal RNA". The record is from RNAcentral.
CUUUGGGCGGCAAGGCCUGACUGCCUUGCGACGCCGCGUGGGUGAUGAAGGCCUUCGGGUUGUGAACCCGCUUUCGGCGGGGAGGAAGGGGUUGGGAGCAUAGGGUUGGGGUGUGACGGUUCCCUCCCAAGAAGCCCCGGCUUCAUCCGUGCCCAGCGCGCGGUAAUCA